This 253-nucleotide ribosomal RNA is filed under the name uncultured bacterium. Its description in RNAcentral is "partial 16S ribosomal RNA". It matches the Rfam family "Bacterial small subunit ribosomal RNA", at positions 524 to 776 of the family's 1533-position model. The record is from RNAcentral.
UACGUAGGGACCAAGCGUUGUUCGGAUUUACUGGGCGUAAAGGGCGCGUAGGCGGCGUGGUAAGUCACUUGUGAAAUCUCUGAGCUUAACUCAGAACGGCCAAGUGAUACUGCUGUGCUAGAGUGCAGAAGGGGCAAUCGGAAUUCUUGGUGUAGCGGUGAAAUGCGUAGAUAUCAAGGGGAACACCUGAGGUGAAGACGGGUUGCUGGGCUGACACUGACACUGAGGCGCGAAAGCCAGGGGAGCAAACGGG